GUGGGGGAUAUUGCACAAUGGGGGAAACCCUGAUGCAGCGACGCCGCGUGAAGGAAGACGUACUUCGGUAUGUAAACUUCUAUCAGCAGGGAAGAAGAUGACGGUACCUGACUAAGAAGCCCCGGCUAACUACGUGCCAGCAGCCGCGGUAAUACGUAGGGGGCAAGCGUUAUCCGGAUUUACUGGGUGUAAAGGGAGCGUAGACGGUGAAGCAAGUCUGAUGUGAAAACCCGGGGCUCAACUCCGGGAUUGCAUUGGAAACUGUUUUACUUGAGUGCUGGAAGGGCAAGCGGAAUUCCUGGUGUAGCGGUGAAAUGCGUAGAUAUCAGGAAGAACACCGGUGGCGAAGGCGGCUUGCUGGACAGUAACUGACGUUGAGGCUCGAAAGCGUGGGGAGCAAACAGGAUUAGAUACCCCGGUAGUCC
This 425-nucleotide ribosomal RNA is filed under the name uncultured bacterium. RNAcentral's name for it is "partial 16S ribosomal RNA". It matches the Rfam family "Bacterial small subunit ribosomal RNA", at positions 354 to 796 of the family's 1533-position model. The record is from RNAcentral.